UACGGAGGGAGCUAGCGUUUGUUCGGAAUUACUGGGCGUAAAGCGCACGUAGGCGGCUUUGUAAGUUAGAGGUGAAAGCCCGGGGCUCAACCCCGGAAUUGCCUUUAAGACUGCAUCGCUUGAACGUCGGAGAGGUGAGUGGAAUUCCGAGUGUAGAGGUGAAAUUCGUAGAUAUUCGGAAGAACACCAGUGGCGAAGGCGGCUCACUGGACGACUGUUGACGCUGAGGUACGAAAGCGUGGGGAGCAAACAGGG
Molecule: ribosomal RNA, 255 nt
Filed under: uncultured bacterium
Lineage: Bacteria
Description: partial 16S ribosomal RNA
Rfam family: Bacterial small subunit ribosomal RNA
Source: RNAcentral